CCUAAGGUGAGGUUGGAAUUGGAGUUAAAGUAGGGCUGAGGAUAGGAUGGGAUUGAUUGGAGUUGAAGUUGGCAUGGGAGUCACUUUAUUUAGUGUUAUCAUUGGGCUUGAUGAGGCCUGGCCUGGAUUCAGAUGGUUGUGAUGUAAGCAAAGAAGAUGAGAAUCAGAUGGGGUUUGGGUUAGUAUGUGGUUUGCUGUUGGUGUUGGGAUUAGGGCUGGGCCAGGUGCUUUGCUGAACUCUUGGAAGCUCACUGGUGGGAGCUAUCCCUCUGAGGGAUGUGCCAUGCCUGAAUUUUCACAUCACUGGGACCAGACCCAUGGUCCUGCCAUGCAGUUUUGGGUUGAGUAAGAUAAGGACCCAUUGUUUCCCCUCUGGGAGUGUUUGGGGAUUGGAGGCCCCACCUGGGAUUUCCAUGGCAGUAAUUCCCAGCCUUACUGGGAAGCCUGGUAAGACCCAGGGUGGGGGUUUAUCUCUUCUGGCUCCAGUAGAGGCAGUGGGCCCCAGUAUUUGCUGUACUAUGCUUCCAGGCAGUUGGGACAGGACGGUGGAACAGUCUUAGGACCUGAGGCACAGAGUCAGCCAGCUGGGGCCUGGGGGCAUCUCUGGCCAGAAACACACACCACCUGUGUCCAGGUGACUAGUUUUCUCCCAUUUCAGUCAUUUUGAAGAAAUACUGAUUCCAUUUCAGCAAGAAACCAAUUCUAUUCUUUUGCCCCUACGAGGAGGCAAGCAGGGGCAUUCAUUUCAGUGCCUCUCUGAGCUAGUCAUCUGAAAGGGUACAGGGAAAACCCAGGUAGAGGACUCACGUGUCCCCAAGCCCACUGCCCAGGCACAAGCAGACGUGGCUGAAAGGUGCCUGUUUCAUGAUUGCUCCUGCCAGGGCCACCCUAUCCCACAUUCUCAUCAUGCUGACACUACCCUAAGCCCCACCCCCAAUGUGCCUCUAUAGCUUUGCCUAUGCUGCUGUCAGCCCUUCCUCCUCCUCUCCAUGUGUCUAGAGUCUCCUUAUCAUCCAGGAUCCAACCCUUGUGAUGUCGUAUUACACUGACUUAUGGACGAAAUGCAGGGACAGUGUCUUAUCCACGACAUCUCCGCAGAAUCUUGUCUAGAGACUGGAAGAGAGUGGGCACACAAUCAAUGAACAAAGAGCUGGAAAGAACAGGCCCCCCCAGGCUGAUGCAUUAUACCAAUUUUAUUAAGCCUUAGUCCUUUUUAUGGAGGAGGACUCCAAAAUCAAAAAUCUCUGUAUAUUUUCUGAUUGCUCUCUUUUCUUUAACUUAGAUUGAAUUCAUUAAACCUAAGAGAUGACCAUGUCUAGGUGCUAUCGGCCAUGUAGCGCUCUCAAGGUAGGGAGUAAGUACAGAGCUGGAAGCAUAAAAUACCUCCUCAAUGUCAUGGACAAACAGAACACAGAAGUAGAGGUGGAAUUUUUCCUAUGUCCCCUAGCAGUGCACUUGGUUUUCAGACAAAUUUGACCCCUUUAAAGUUUUAAAUUUUUUUUUUUUUGUCUUUUUAGGGCUGCACCCGCAGCCUAGGAGUUUCCCAGGCUGGGGGUUGAAUUGGAGCUGUAGCUGCCAGCCUACGCCACAGCCACAGCAAUGCCAGAUCGGAACUGCAUCUACGAACUAUGCCACAGCUCAUGGCAAUGCAGGAUCCUUAACCCAAUGAGCAAGGCCAGGGAUUGAACCUGCAUCCUCAUGGAUACUAGUCAGGUUUGUUAACCACUGAGCCAUGACGGGAACUCCCUAAUUUUUAAAAUAACUGUUAUUAUCCCCAUUUUAUAGAUGUGGAAAAAAGGUCCAGGGAAGACAAGUGAUCUUUCAAAGUUCUCACGAUUCGUAUGUGGUAGAACAAGUAUUCCAAACUAGACGGUGUAAUUCUCUAUUGCUUCCUAACGUACCUCUCCAACUCGUGCCUUCUUUUCCCUUUCCGUUGAUACCACCAUCAUUUACACUUUGAUCUUCUGCACGUCUUUUUCUAGCAGGCUCUGAUUUACUCUCCUUAGUUGAAUUCUAUCCCUCUUCACUCUUCCUAAACCUGUAGGAACAAUCACUCUUUUCAAUGAUGCCUCAUUCCAAAAAAAAAAAAAAAAUCUGCAUUUUUAAGUAACGUUAACCAUUCCUUGAGAAUCUGCCCCCAUCUCUGAUUUGCUGUUUCCCCACGUUUCCCUUCCACGGCAGUGCUCCCGCUAUCCAGAACCAUGUGUGGCUUCCUGAACAGACCAGGGCCCACCUGCCCCUGGGCUUCUGCAGGACUCUUCCUCCCAGUGGGUUGGCCCCCUCCCAGGUGUUUGCUUGGCUAGCUUAUCCUCAAGACUCCUCAGCUGUCACCUCCCCAUGACAGUCCCAAUCUGGUUGUGGGGCUAUCUUCUGGGCUCCCAUUAACUCCCCCACGCCUCCCUCUCUAUGGCAGCAUGAGCCACGGUGCUUUGUUACUAUGUACUUGCCUAUUUUGCUUCUGGCCUCUGGGCUCUAGCUGGACAAAAUGCCUUUCAUUCCCUUGGCUUCUUCAUCUGGAAGCUUUUGUUAAGGUUUAUUGACUGAAAAGCCAGUGAUUCCAUCUUGAUGCUGUGUGCAGAUGUAGUAAGCAGGCCAUCCGUAUCUUUAUCCACAUCAUUCAUAGAAUGUCUGAACUGAGUAAGACAAGAGUGAACCCUGAAGCAUGUUUGUAUUUUCUGACACUUUCUUCUCAGAUUUCUUCUUGCCCAGUCUAAGUAAUUUCACCAAGAGCUUGAAGAAAUAUAGAUAAACCACAUUUGCUUCCUUCCCCUAAUCUAGCAGGGAAGAGGGGCUAGGAAAAAAGCUAAAGUUAGGAGGCCCCAUCGUGGCUCAGCAGUAACGAAUCUGACUAGUAUCCAUGAGGACACGGGUUCAGUCCCUGGUCUCGCUCAGUGGAUUAAGGAUCCGGCGUUGCUGUGAGCUGUGGGCGUGGGUCAUAGAUGCAGCUUCGGCAUUGCUAUGGCUGUGGUGUAGGCUGGCAACUGCAGCUCUGAUUUGACCCCUAGCCUGGGAACUUCCAUAUGCCAUGGGUGUGCCCCCCCCCAAAAAAAAACCACACAAAAAACCCUGAAAUUAACUUGGCAAGACAGAGGAGCCUUAGUGAACAUACUCUACUCCCAGAGGUCCUGACUUUCCUUUCCAAGAACCCCAAAUGCUCUUUAAAGGACAUCUCAUGUCCAGCCAGCCUCCCAUGGUUUUCCCAUUACACCAGGCUCUGGCCCUUGUUUCCUGAGGUGUGUCUGAGGAUUUCCAGAUUCAAAGGGAUUCCUUUGGUUUGAAUGUUAUACAUAGGAUCUCUCAGUCUCUUCCAGGAAUGGGCCUGCUGUACACAGAGAGCUCAUGAACCAUCCCCUGCCCCUGUAGCUAAGCUCUGGGUAUCUUCUGAUACCAUCUGAUGGAGAGAAAAAAAGCAUUUUGGAAAAAGCUAAUGAUAGUUUCUAUGUAAAGGGAAGGCAGUGUGAUGGCAAGCAGGGGCAAGGGCAGUGAGAAGUUGAGGAAGGAACAAACCUUGAACUUGUAGUCAUAAGACCUGGGUGUUGGUCUUGACUCUUCCAGCACUGUGCUGUGUGGCCUUGAGAGAGCCCCUGUCCUGCUGUGUUCUCAGUUUCACGCCUGGGGAGGAGGGGAUUAGAAGAAUCCAAAGAUUAAGCAUUCCCUCCCCGCCCCAGAAAGAAAAUUUUCACCAGUGUUUUUUAAUCAUUUUAGGAGUCACAGACUUUUCUGGGAGGAACCUGAUGAUGCUGUGAAAACUUGCCCCCAAAAUGUUCAUGCUCACAGACAGGCACACAUACAUGCUCAAAAUCUAUUCCAGAAUUUUCCUGAGAUUGAUUGACUACAGUUAUUGGUAUGGGCCUCAUCUGUCUUAAAAAGUCCUCCCUAUGUCUGCUCAGCUACUGAAAUCCAGCAUCUCUCCCAACCUUCAUGAUGCACUGAAGUUACUGGACUGUUUCAUCCACAAAUUCUCGUGAAUCCCUGGAAUGUAAAACAUGAGCUUAGAGAUGUUUAGAGAAGCCCCAGUUCUCUUCACAUAACUCCAGCUUCUAAAUUGAUUCACAAAUAUGUGUUUUUUGUACUUUGAAAACCUUCCCUAGACUAUGAAGGUAAAACUGGAUUUGCCAUAUUCACUUUCCUUCCAUGGCCAUUGACAUCACUCCUGUCCCCCAAGUGUAUUCUCAGGCGUCGAGAGAGGAACCUUCCUCUUCCUUCUUCUUCAUGUAAUUAAAGAGCCCUUUGUGUUCUCUUAGGAGUGGGGAGAGGGUUUAUUUCAACCUUUUUCCUGUGCUCUUGACUACCUGAAACUCGUCUUAUAUGUCAUUGUCACUUUCCUUCUGGAAACUAAGUCUACUGGAUAGCAUGCUAGUUGGCCGUGCACGCACACACACAUUUAUUUAUUCAUUUAUUUAUUUAUGUCUUUUUAGAGCCAAACCUGCAACAUAUAGAAGUUCCCAAGCUAAGGGUCGAAUUGGAACCAUAGCUGCUGGCCUAUACCACAGCCACGGCCACGCCAGAUCCAAGCCGAGUCUGCGACCUACACCACAGCUCAUGGCACACCGGGUCCUUGACCCACUGAGCAAGGUCAGGGAUCGAACCUGCCUCCUCUUUGAUACUAAUCAGAUUCAUUUCUGCUGAACUACAAGGGGAACUGCAGCCGUGCACUUUUAGAUCUCAGAAGAAAAUGUGGUCCUUCUUGCUGGAGGCUGAUUCAGAGGGGAUUACCAGGAAGUGAAGGAUGUUUGAGUUCAGAGCCCCCAGCUUAUAUGCCUCCUUCCAAGGACCUGGGGUGGGCACCCUAGUGGUGCAUCCAUGAGGUGACAUGUUUGGUACAGUUAACAGAAGUCAGAUCUUUUAAUCAUGAUUGCUAAGAUGUCCAUCUCUCUGGGCU
This 4882-nucleotide long non-coding RNA is filed under the name Sus scrofa (pig). RNAcentral's name for it is "lncRNA (ENSSSCG00000056720.1)". The record is from RNAcentral. Lineage: Eukaryota; Metazoa; Chordata; Mammalia; Artiodactyla; Suidae.